This 460-nucleotide ribosomal RNA is filed under the name uncultured bacterium. RNAcentral's name for it is "partial 16S ribosomal RNA". It matches the Rfam family "Bacterial small subunit ribosomal RNA", at positions 338 to 795 of the family's 1533-position model. The record is from RNAcentral.
CCUACGGGUGACAGCAGUAGGGAAUAUUGGUCAAUGGACGAGAGUCUGACCCAGCAAAGUAGCGUGAAGGAUGACUGCCCUCGGGGUGUAAAACUUCUUUUAUAAAGGAAUAAAACGAGGCACGUGUGCCUUUUUCCAUGUACUUUAUGAAUAAGGAUCGGCUAACCCCAUGCCAGCAGCCGCGGUAAUACGGAGGAUCCGAGCGUUAUCCGGAUUUAUUGGGUUUAAAGGGAGCGUAGAUGGGUUGUUAAGUCAGUUGUGAAAGUUUGCGGCUCAACCGUAAAAUUGCAAUUGAUACUGGCAGUCUUGAGUACAGUUGAGGUAGGCGGAAUUCGUGGUGUAGCGGUGAAAUGCGUAGAUAUCACGAAGAACACCGAUUGCGAAGGCAGCUUACUAAACUGUGACUGACAUUGAUGCUCGAAAGUGUGGGUAGCAAACAGGAUUAGAUACCCCUGUAGUC